GGGCCAUGGGGCGGGCGGAGGCGCCCGAGUCCCGCUUCCCUUGCGCUCUUCCACCCCCGGCCGUGCUCAGCCCGCGGCUACCUGCGCCCCACCCCUGCCGGCCACGCCCGAGCCCAGCGCCGCGAGCCUCUCCCCGGCGGGCUGGCUCCUGGCCCCGGAAGCGGGAGCGUUCACUUCUCUGUGAGUGGCUGCGUCUCCGCGGACAGAACGCGCGCCCCCUGGCCCAGCCCGCGAGGGGCUCCCGGCGUGGUCCCCGAGCGUUUCCCGCCGGGUGGAGCGGGCCGAGCCCGGCAGGAUGACCAGCCCCGCGGCCGCGCAAAGCCGGGAGAUCGACUGUUUGAGCCCGGAAGCUCAGAGGCUGGCGGAGGCCCGGCUCGCUGCAAAACGGGCGGCCCGCGCGGAGGCUCGUGAGAUCCGCAUGAAGGAGCUGGAGCGGCAGCAGAAGGAGGAAGACAGUGAGCGCUACUCUCGUAGAUCCAGAAGAAACACAUCGGCUUCUGAUGAAGACGAGCGCAUGUCAGUGGGUAGUCGUGGAAGCCUGAGGGUAGAAGACAGACCAGAAAAAGAUUUUACUGAGAAGGGGUCUCGUAAUAUGCCAGGCCUGUCUGCAGCCACGCUGGCCUCUCUGGGUGGGACUUCCUCUCGGAGAGGAAGCGGAGACACCUCCAUCUCCAUCGACACCGAGGCGUCCAUCAGGGAAAUCAAGGACUCUCUAGCGGAAGUUGAAGAGAAAUAUAAGAAGGCUAUGGUUUCCAAUGCUCAGCUAGACAAUGAGAAGACAAACUUCAUGUACCAGGUUGAUACCCUCAAAGAUAUGUUGCUGGAGCUUGAAGAACAGCUGGCUGAAUCUAGGCGGCAGUACGAAGAGAAAAACAAAGAAUUUGAAAGGGAAAAACACGCCCACAGUAUACUGCAGUUUCAGUUUGCGGAAGUCAAGGAGGCCCUGAAGCAAAGAGAGGAAAUGCUCGAGAAACAUGGAAUAAUCCUAAAUUCAGAAAUAGCUACCAAUGGAGAGACUUCCGACACUCUCAAUAAUUUUGGAUACCAAGGUCCUAGCAAGAUGACGAAAGAAGAGUUAAAUGCCCUCAAGUCGACAGGGGAUGGGACCCUAGGAAGAGCCAGUGAAGUGGAGGUGAAAAAUGAAAUCGUGGCGAAUGUGGGGAAAAGAGAAAUCUUGCACAAUACUGAGAAAGAACAACACACAGAGGACACACUGAAAGACUGUGUGGACAUAGAGGUAUUCCCUGCUGGUGAGAAUACCGAGGACCAGAAAUCCUCUGAAGACACUGCCCCAUUCCUAGGAACCUUAGCAGGUGCUACAUAUGAGGAACAGGUUCAAAACCAAAUUCUAGAGAGCACUUCUCUCCCUGAAAACACAGCACAGGCUGAGUCAGAUGAGGUCAUGGGUGCACCAGAUGACAGGACCAGAACUCCCCUUGAGCCAUCCAGCUGUUGGAAUGACUUAGAUGGCGGGAACCACACAGGGAAUGUGGGAGAGGCAGCGGCGACUCAGGUUGGAGAGCAGGCAGGCACAGUGGCCUCAUGUCCUUUAGGGCAUGGUGAUGACACAGUUUAUCAUGAUGACAAAUGUACAGUAGAGGUUCCCCAAGAGUUAGAGACAAGCACAGGGCAUGGUUUAGAGAAAGAAUUCACCAACCUGGAAGCAGCUGAGCCCAAGGAGGUUCCAGUGCAGAGUACAGAAGUAGGUAGGGAUCACAACGAAGAAGAGGGUGAAGAAACAGUAUUAAGGGAUGAGAAACCAAUCAAGACAGAAGUUCCUGGUUCUCCAGCAGGAACUGAGAUCAAUGGUCAGGAAGCGACAGGUCCAAGUACAGUAGACACUCAAAGUGAAUCCUUAGAUAUGAAAGAGCCUGAGGAAGAAAAGAAUGACCAACAGGGAGAGGCGUUGGACUCAUCGCAGAAGAAGACAAAGAACAAGAAAAAGAAAAACAAGAAGAAAAAAUGCCCAGUACCUGUAGAAACCCUUAAAGAUGUUAAAAAAGAGUUAACUUAUCAGAACACAGAUUUAAGUGAAAUUAAGGAAGAAGAGCAGGUAAAGUCUACUGACAGAAAGUCCGCAGUGGAAGCCCAAAACGAGGCGCCUGAAAAUCCAAAACAGAAAAUUGCGGCAGAAAGCAGUGAAAACGCUGAUUGUCCGGAGAAUCCUAAAAUUAAGUUGGCUGGAAAACUUGACCAAGAAGGCGAUGAUGUAAAAACAGCAGCUGAGGUGGUACUAGCUGAUGGAGACACAUUAGAUUUUGAGGAUGACACAGUUCAAUCAUUAGGCCCGAGGGCUGGUGGUGAAGAGUUAGAUGACGGUGUUGCAAGAGAUAAUGCUAAAACAGACGGUGCCACUCAGAGCAGUCCCGCAGAACCAGAGAGCGAAGACGCAGAUAGCUGCACACUGCCCGAAAAUGAAAGUCCCUCACAGGACGUUAGUGAUGCCUGUGAAGCAGAAAGUACAGAGAGCUGUGGGAUGUCAGAACAUCCGAGUCAGACCGUCAGGAAGGCUUUAGACAGCAAUAGCCUAGAAAACGAUGACUUGUCGGCACCGGGAGGAGAGCCGGGAGACUUCAAUCCAGAAAGCAGAGAAGAUACCAGAGGAGGGAAUGAGAAGGGCAAAAGCAAAGAAGACUGUACCAUGUCCUAAGCUGAGGCAGGCGGCAGGUGUGGUGCACAGGAAGUCUUGAGUGUAAGGGGCUCUUUUCUCCACUGCCAAUGUAAGUAGAAUGUUAUAAAUUCAUAGAGAUUCACUGUAUGCCAAUCACCAGGUGGUCUACUGCUUUAAGUUAUAGACUGUUACUUGUAGAUUUCCAUGUAAUCAUUGAGGUUAUCACCCAGAUUAGAAAGACAUAUUUGUUAUCAGUGUAUGUUCUCAUUGAGAGCAUUCCAGUAGUAUCAAACAAUAAUGUCUACUGUUUAAAGUCCACUUAAUAAAAAUAGAAGCAUUUACCAUUUGCCUUAGGCUGAUAGGAAUAUGGAUAUUCUUGACCAAAUAUAUCAGCAUCUAAUUGAAAUGACCAAAUAGCAUUCUUAGACUUAUGUAUUAUGAAUAUAAUUGAUAUUUAAAUUAAUGUCUUGUUCACAUAUGUGUAUUUUCAUAUUUGAUUUUAAAAUGUACAUUAUAACCUGUAUGGUAUUUUAUUUAAAGGGGAUAAACAGCCAAAUAGCAAAUAGGUCACUGAAUGAUAAGAUUUGCACCUUAGAACAAUAGUCAUUGUAAGGAUAACAAGUAAACAUCUGAAAGCAGGAGGGGCUUUAUUUGCCUUCACCUCAUAUAAGUCUUUGAUCUUGAACCAAUGCUUUUGGAUCUCAUUGUUGAUAUACCUGAAUUUACUCUGUAGGAGAUUUUAACUUCAUGCUGAUGAUGUAUCAAUUUCAUUUUAUAGAAAGAUUUAAAGUUUUUUUCUGGUAGUGAUAUAUGUCAAAUUACAUUUCCUACUGCAGUAUUUGAGCAGGGACAGUCAUUUUUUAAAUGUUUUUGGCUGGGCUCGGUGGCUCACACCUGUAAUCUCAGCACGUUGGGAGGCCGAGGCAAGUGGAUCACCUGAGGUCAGGAGUUUGAGGCCAGCCUGGCCAACAUGGUGAAACCCUGUACUAAAAAUACAAAAACUUGGCCAGGCGUGGUGGUGGGUGCCUGUAAUCCCCGCAAUUCUGGAGGCUGAGGCCGGAGAAUCGCUUGAACCCACGAGGCAGAAAUUGCAGUGAGCCGAGAGCAAGCCAUUGUACUCCAGCCUGGACAACAAGAGCGAAACUCUGUCUAAAAAAAAAACACAAAACAGUGUUUUCACGCCUGUAACCCUAGCACACUGGGAAGCCAAGAUGGGAGGAUCACUUGAGGCCAGGAGUUCAAGGCUGCAGUGAGCUAUGAUUGCACCGCUGUACUCUAGCCUGGAAGACAGAGUGAGACCCUGUCUCUUAAAAAACAAAAACAAAAAAAAAAAAGAUUUUGAACCGUGAAAUUAUUUCUCUUUGUUUGAAUUUCUAAUCAUCAUUCAAAAGAGCAGUAAAAAAAGGUUACUUGUUCUUGUACAAACUACCAAUUAGACUACAGUAGAAUAUUUUAAAGAGCUGAAUCACUUUUGGUAUUUUGGUAUAAAUAUUUUCAUUUGUUAUGUCCCAGUAUAUUCUUAUUGGAAAAUUCUUGUUUUGAUCUGCCGGAAGAAAAUAUCUGUUUUCUAUAUAAACAAACAUUUAAAAAAUAAUUGUAAAGUUAGAUUUAAAAUUGUAAAAUAUAAAAUCACAAAGGAAUGUACCUUAUGAAUGGUGUCAACAUUUUAUGAAAUUAUGUGGGUUCAUAUUACUGUUACAAGAUAGAAUUGAAUGCAAAAAGACCAAAACCUCAAUAAAAUUUGAGGAAAACGUAAGUGUUAUUAUGUAAUUGAAAUAAAAACAUUUUAUAAUUGUACAAGACUGUGGUUGCACUCUUUGGGCUGCUUGGAGUCUGGGUCUGACUACUGUUGUAUGUAAUACCACCUCUCCAGUAAUACCUGCUUGCGGGUUGCUGAUUCCCAUUGGGGUCCUGUGGAAGACCCACACCUGAUGCCCGUCCUCAGUAAGGAAUGCACUUCCCUCCUGGCAUCGAGCCUGGGGCUAGCAUGAGCAUUACUGGGAGAAUUGAGACGAUCGUCCCGCACCAUCUCCUGUGAUCUGUGGUUCUAAUGUGCAGCCUCAGUUGAAAACGGUCUUCAUCUGUUGCUGUGCUUGAAUGCACCAAUACUUAGAAUGUUUUGAAGAGUAUGAUGAACAUGGAAAAAACCUUGACUGUUUCUGCUCAAGUGUCCUGAAGUGGAGGAUGGUAGGGGUGAUAAAUGCUUGCUAGGAAAUCAAGUCCACGGGCUCUAUAGGACUUCACAGGGUUUUAGUGUAUGUCUCUAACUUUAGCAAAGCUGCCUUCAUAUUGGAAUGCAUACUGGAAACAGCUCUCAUUCCUACCUGUAAAGGGCUCUUGGAAAGCAGUUCAACAACCAAGGUCACUAAAUGGUGAGAUCAUCAAGCCCUUUUAAGAUCUUUCCCAUGUUAUUCACCAGCACCCUGCAGGACGUUGGGCACACGUCACAUCCCUCAGCUCAGCCAUCCAGCCAUCUCAGUGAUUCACCACUCAUUUGUUUAAUUAAUAAACAGGUUUGAUCACUUUGUACACGGAAGGCACUGUACCAUUGAACAAGUGGCUAGGACCCAGCCCUCCAGUAGGGAAUGGGCAGCUGAAAAUCCAUGAGCAAAAAAGAAGGAAAAAGAAAGACUUCUGAGCAGCCAAGCCAUUUCUUGAUGAUUUCAGAGCCUUCAUUCUGAGCAUCAGUUAUCUGCUCUCCAGUGUAAUGACUUUAUAGCCAAGCACAGUAAUUGAUACUACUGUGAAGGCUCUUAACUUACCAAGAAAUGGUUGAGGCCGGGCACAUUGGCUCAUGCCUAUAAUCCCAGCACUUUGGGAGGCCGAGGUAGGUGGAUCACUUGAGCCCAGGAGUUCAAGCCCAGCCUGGGCAACAUGGUGAAAGCCCAUCUCUACAAAAAAAAUACACAAUUAGCCAGGCAUGGUGGCAUGUGCAUGUAGUCCCAGCUACUUAGGAGGCAGAGGUGGGAGAAGCAUCUGAGCCUGGGGGUCGAGGCUGCAGUGAGUGGUGAUCACACCACUGCACUCCAGCCUGGGCAAUGGAGUGAAACCCUGUCUCAAAAAAAAGGAACGAAAGAAAAGAAAAAGAAAGUUGACUUAGCUAUACUCCAUGUAAGAAGGUAUAGAAAUAUAUAGGGCAAUUUAGAAAGAUUAUAGCAUCAAAAGAUUCAAACUCAGAAACGAAUCAAAAGGUUGCCUUCCAGCCAUAUCCCCAGAGGAACCUAGAGAAAAACAUUGGUUAGUGACACCUGAAAUCAAAAAGCAUGGAUAUUUUUCAGUCCCAAACCCGAACAUAGCUCCCGUAUAUAAAUGUAAAUCUUCCUUCAAAAGUAGAAUUAAGUAUAAUUAUGGGUGUCUGUCAAAAAUACAGAGGAAGAUGGAUUUUGAAUUAUAGGUUGUUACACAAAGGUUGGACAGCAAUCAAGUUUUUUAAACAGUUUUCAAGAAUGACCUUAAAAGAGAUGUAUGACCUUGAUCACUUUCCAUAGUUUUUAAUAUUUGCAGUUAACAGAAGACCUAAUGACCUGACACUUAAGUUUCCACUAUCACUAGGACCCUGAAUGCUAAUUCUGGGGAGUUUAGAUGGUUUGGGGUUCCUGUUUUCUAUUGAUAGACUCCCCUUCUGGGAGACCACCCCCAACCCUGUACAACAUGCCACCCAUGGCCACCCGCCAAGGGAACACAACAGUAGGAUUUGUUCCAAACGUCUGGGCCCCUAAGGGAAACGGAGGGGUGUUUGUGUGUGCAUGUAUUAUGUUCAGAAUAUGUACUUGUUCAGUGUGAUAGUUGUACAUGGAGAAAACUUUGUCUUUCAAGAGGAAAAUCCUUUUGUUCUCUUUGUCCCUAUCUACUGCCUCUCAAAUAUUUUUCAACAUGUGAAUGGCUGGUGGCUCAUACAGGGAAACAUUUCCCAAUUAUGCAGACAUUAUAAGUCUACCAGUGAUGUGCCACUAUUUAUUCAACAAAUUAGACUUGGUGGUUUUUAACGCUGUGAAAACUAGUACUCUUAUUUUCUUCAUGUCAAAUUAUUUUCCUUCAUUUCUUUUUCUGUUUUCUUCAAACUCUCGUUCUUGUCUUCUUCUCCAAGUCUCCUUUAAAAUUUCUCUUCCUUAAAAGUUUUUUCUCUCUCUAUUUUUAAUAUUCUCACUAUACAACUCAAUGUCAGUUUACCUAUAUCGAUUUUGCUUGCACUUUUAUUACAUUUUGACAGUUACUUUCUAGUGCUUUUCUAGAAUAUUUGAAGUUUUCUAGAAGAAAACAAUAACAAUUUACUAUAGAUACUUGAGCUUCGAGAUCACAUUCUGAUAUAUUCAGUGUUUCUUACGGUGCCUGUGGUUUUUGUAUAUAGGAGUAUUAAAACGUAAGAAAAUGAAUAGUGAUACUGGACAAAAGAAUCAGGUUUAUAACUGCAAAAAUGUUUUGUUUCAGUGUUGGGUGGGUUACAGGAGGGAAAGAGUAAAACAUCUGUCAGAAGUAAUUUGACUGUAAUUUAAAAUAGAACUCAAAAGGAUGAUAAAUUUAAUUUAUAUUGUGCUUAACAUUAUCUGGUGUUUUACUGUACCUUUCAAAACAACAACUUAGGGUCUUCGGAAAACAUAAUUAGAGAAAAAUGUAACUUGGAUUAGCAUGUGGCUAGAUGAUUUUUUAAGUGAAAAUGAAGAUGCAUUUUAUAUGAAUUGUUUUCUUUUCACAUGGCUGAUCAAGGUUAGUUUUUCAUUCUGCGAAGAAUCUGGAGGUAGGCUGCGUGAGAGCAGCGUCCCAGUGGGCUAAGAGCUUUGAGUCAGGGUCUGACUCAGAGGUGUGAGUUUAGAUCUGGAAAAAUAGUGGGUGCAGUGCUUAGGGGCAUGUUCCUGUGGUUGGGCUGCAAGGCCUUAAGAAAAUUGCUUAGUGGUUCUGGGCCUCUGAGCCUCAUCUAUAGAAGGAGGCUGUAAUGAAGCCCAUCCGUGGGGCUUCCAGGGCUGAAACAGGCUAACAACGUCAAAGCUGCUAGAACUGAACCUGUGGCGGAGUGAGUGUGCAGCAUACGUUAUCACUGUCAUCACUCCAGCAUUCUGACUGUGCCUUUACACUAGUGUGGGAUUUUGCCCAAACCUCUAAACCUCCCCAAGCUGUGGUUUCCCCUACCCCGUCCAAAGACUGUAGUACUUGACCCUCCUUCAGAGAGAUGUUUGGGUAAUUCAUAGACACUUAACAUUUAUGCAUCUUUAUAUAUCGGGAGUGGGAGGAAUUACAGACACUUAAACCAUUACUGCCUUCUCCCUCAAAAGAGUAACACCUUUGAUAACUGGGUUAGCAGAGGUGUUAGUGGACUUAGGGUUGUAAACAGAUAGUCGCAGCACUGACAUCGAUGAGUCUAUGAGAGACAUUAGAAAUAAAUAAAUCUGGGAUGUAAACUCGGAAAGGCGAGGCUGUUCAAAAUGUUGGUGCUAUUGAACUGUAAUUCUCCGUGUUUGUACAUUGCUAAUGAUGUUAAACCAUGAAGCCUGUGAGAUCUUGUGUUGCAGCGUGGUUUGGCCCUAGCGUUCUUGCAUGCUAACCUAAGGUAGAAGAUUAGCAGCCUGUUUGCAUGCAGCCGGAUGCUGCCCCUGACGUGAAGCAUGUUCUGGGAGGUUGACCCAACCCCCCUUGGCUGAAUUCUUCCCCCGUCCUGUCUGUGGCCUCAUUCACCGUGAUAUUAGGUUGAAAAAGCUGGUUGAUGAACGGGAAUGCUUAUUGGAACAGAUUAAGAAACUCAAAGGGCAGCUGGAGGAGAGACAGAAGAUUGGCAAACUAGACAAUCUUCGAUCUGAAGAUGAUGUCUUGGAAAACGGGACAGACAUGCAUGUAAUGGACCUACAAAGGGAUGCCAACAGACAGAUCAGCGACCUCAAAUUUAAACUUGCAAAAUCUGAGCAAGAGAUAACUGCAUUAGAACAAAAUGUAAUAAGGUUAGAAAGUCAAGUAUCACGUUACAAAUCAGCGGCUGAAAAUGCAGAAAAAAUAGAAGAUGAACUUAAGGCGGAAAAACGGAAACUCCAAAGAGAGCUCCGCUCUGCAUUGGAUAAAACAGAAGAGCUCGAGGUGAGCAACGGCCACUUAGUGAAGCGUCUGGAAAAAAUGAAAGCAAAUCGGAGUGCACUGUUGUCCCAGCAGUAAAUUCCAGCUCUGAACAGGCAACUGGUUGGUGACUGGAGAGCAUUGUUUCAUAGGCUUUUCUCUGUCCUGUCUGGGAGCACUGCUUCUUCCCCUGCCUCCUGAGAGAAGAAGACUGCGGCAAGCUUGGCACUUAGGGGCUCCCAUGCCAUGGCUCACCCGAGGAAGCCCCAGCAGCCACCAGGUGCCUCUGUGCGCAGACCCCUGGCCCGGGCUGGGGCCGACGCUCAGAACCUGCGGGUACUUCAUAAGCACAUGGGGGCCUCGAGGGAGCUCUGUGUCUGACCGCACAGCAGCCUCUGAAUGCCACUGGAAAUGGUGAUCAAAGUAAAGAUUCAGUUGGGACUUGAGUUCUUUUUUUUUUCAUGUGUCUUGCUGAAGAUUAAGGGGAAAUGUUACAGUGUUGGGACUUCCUUUCAUGGCAGAAUCUACAAUUUGAGCGACUUCAGUAGUAUCUCUUAGUCUACGCUUUUCAUACACAAAACACUGUGGAACCACAAGCCAUUACCAAGCAAAACUCUUUCACUGGAAACAAGGGGGCAGUCUAGUAGUAAAAGUGACCUUAAGAAGACUCUUUACAGGCAACAAAUGAAGAUUUUCUAAGGGAUUUUUGCAUCAGUUCAGUCAUAGGAAUACUUUUUUCCAGGGUAAUUAGGCAAAGCUUCACUGAAAAUGACAGCUUUUCAUUUGCAUUAUUUAAUCCUUAUAUUUGGAAUUGAAGUUGUUAACUUCUUUUAAAGAAUGUACUAUUAGAAAAAUUAAAAGUGAAAUGUUGAGAGACUUCA
This is an RNA transcript of Piliocolobus tephrosceles (Ugandan red Colobus), 9528 nucleotides long. It is a transcript of the gene named LRR binding FLII interacting protein 1, with no coding region annotated. The transcript has 15 exons. Lineage: Eukaryota; Metazoa; Chordata; Mammalia; Primates; Cercopithecidae. The record is from RefSeq and is a predicted model, not a curated record.